Nomascus leucogenys (northern white-cheeked gibbon) is the source of this 66-nucleotide regulatory RNA element. It matches the Rfam family "MAT2A 3'UTR stem loop F". NCBI's taxonomy places the organism in Eukaryota, Metazoa, Chordata, Mammalia, Primates, Hylobatidae. The record is from Rfam.
CAUGGAGAAAGCUGCCUUGGCUGGUGUGGUGCAGAGAAGCCAGCUUGUUUAUGUGCUUAUUCCAUG